GAAAUGAUGCAAUGUCUGAAAUUCUGAUAGAACGCAGUCCAACUGUACCAGCUUUAGAGCAUGUCUUAACCCUGUAGUGGUAGCUGAGAGUGAAGAUGGCAUAGAGCAAAGAAACUGCAGUCCACUUGUUAGACCUCGUGUAUUUGAAACUUGUUCAAGAAUACACCGACCAACAUGUCUCGCAUUAUCGUUGGGAUCCACGAGCAGAAGAAUCAAACUGUCACUCAUCAUUGGCUCCCAUGUCCACUGCUUCCUUAGCUCUCCUUGCUCCAUUCUGAUGAUAAAAUGAGCAGUCGACCUCUUGAAAAGCCUAAUUAGAGGCAUACACUUUGUUGA
This 336-nucleotide unclassified non-coding RNA is filed under the name Hevea brasiliensis (rubber tree). The record is from RNAcentral. Lineage: Eukaryota; Viridiplantae; Streptophyta; Magnoliopsida; Malpighiales; Euphorbiaceae.